This 2983-nucleotide long non-coding RNA is filed under the name Triticum aestivum (bread wheat). Its description in RNAcentral is "long non-coding RNA (TAES_LNC006572)". Lineage: Eukaryota; Viridiplantae; Streptophyta; Magnoliopsida; Poales; Poaceae. The record is from RNAcentral.
CAUACUGCCGCCGCCUCCACCGGUAGGUGCUUUCUCUGUCCUCCCCCCCUCCUCCGUCUACAGGUGCUCUCUCCUCCUGUCCGUGCGCCCUUCCCUUCACCGUCGCUCACUGUGCUGCCCUACACGCACAGGUGGUCUUGCUGUCGCCGUCCAAACCCUGCCGGGAGCUUCCCUUUUCGUCCGCGCCCAAGCUCACCAUCUCCUGGAGGUGCUGCCGGCCAAGAAGGUAUGCUCCAAGAUGCCUCUUCCAGAUCCAACUACGACAGUGGGUUGGUUUUAGUCCUUCUAAUGCAAGGUCUUUAUCCACCUCGUGUGUUAUCUAUUUCCCAGCAAUACAACGAUUUCUCUUCGGAAGAAUUGUUUUUCCCCUCCACAUGUUCCUGCUUAUGUUAUGUGUGGAUUUUGAAAUCUAAUUUACACGUACUAUGUGCUUUGAGAAGAAAACAAUGUAGUUUUUUUGCAUGAGCACACCUUCUGCAUAGUGGUCAAUUUGGUUGACCUUCGUUAUCAAAAGAAAUUUGCUUAGUGUAUUGUCAUCAUAAGUAACUAGCAUACUGCUUAAAUUUGGAACAUAGAACUUAGCUAUAAAUCUUAACUAUGAUGAUACUUUGUGGAGAAUGGCACAUUUAGAUUGAUUUUAAUGAUAUAUUUAUUGCUCUGAACCUUGGGUUAUCACCAUAGUUUAGACUCUUGAGUGUUGUUCUGGCUUUGAAAAGUGGGAUCCGAGAGAAUAUAUGAAAAUGCUAAUGAUGUCCUGUGACAAGUUGAGAUCAUGCACAAGAACAAUAAUUAUCUGUGUAGCAGUAAUACAUUAUAAGGCAAACCAAAACUUGAGAUUCUGGUUCAGUUUCAGCUCUUGCCUCCGCCCAUAAAUUAAGAUACCAAUUUAGCGUGGCACCUUUAGUUCCUAGUUGUCAUGAUAACAAUACUGUACCUGACUUGCAUAAUCUCUUGCUAUUCCUUGAUGAGCAGCAACUUAUUUUGAACUUGUAUAUUUUAGAAUUUGCCUUUUCCUGUUAUUUUGUGUGUGGACAAUGUAUGACACCACAUGUAUAACAUUGUUGGUGAACAUUUAAAGCAGUGCCUGGCAAAAGAAGGGGGCCAAACCUACUAACCUGCGGGAUCCGAACGACAUGUGGAUUUCCAAAAGGUUUUUUCUUAUACUGUUAGACACUAUUUGAUAAUGAUAUAAUGAAUUCUUGCUAGACUUAAUUGUUUCCUAUGAAGUUCAAUUCCUGGAACACCUAUUUUGUUUCCUAUGAUCCACAUGCGAGGCAUAGAAAGGGUUUGAUUUUGAUUUUAGUUUCAGUUUCAGAGUUCUAUUCACAUUUUGAAUUUUCUAGUUUUUUUUGUGUGUGGACAGUGUGUGAGGCAUUUAAAUUCACUAUUAAUCAUGUGUGCAGGUGCAACUAGCAUGGACAAAUAUUGGAUGGAUACACCUAGGUACAACACCCCAUAUGUUAAACAUCUUAGAUUAGAUGUUAGUACUUGCUGAAAUCUGAUGCAACGCGCUGCAUAUGUACACUUGCAUGUAGGCAUACGGAGAAGUACUACAAGGGCUUGCCAGAUUCUUACAAUGCAUUUAGUAAAUGUUCAGUUGAGAAUCAGGGAUUCAAUAUUCUAUAUUAUUCUUCUAAGGGUUUUUAGCAUACAAAAGUAUGCAUGGUUGUGCAGACUUUUAGCUUUAUUUUUAACAAGCUAUAGUUAAGUAAAGCAUCUGCUGUUAACGACCUGAUAUUUUUUAGUUGUACAAGUUGUUGCCAUCAAGUUGAAUGACAAAGUGAAACAUAACCUUUAACUUUGUCGUUUGUUUUGAUGUCCUAGUGCAGUGAUACAGCAAACAAUGUAGAAUGCCCUCACUUACUACUGACUAGCAUAUGGAACUAUGUGCUAGUCCAAUAAACACAUCUCCAGUUUCCUAUUAUUUCUUUGUUACAUAGGAAAUACAUGCAGCACUUCGUAAAUGGUUCCUUGUCCCUGUUUUUUUAUUGUGCACAGAGCUUGUAACUUUUCGGUGGGCCACUAUUAGAGGCCUGACCUAUAGAAAUUCACCGUGGUAAAUACCGCCAACCUCGCAGCCUGCUCCUCAUGUAGAUGUAAUUGUGUUGUCUUCAUACUUCACAGGUUUUAUGCUAGCCGUGGAAUAUUUUUCGCCACGUACGUUAUUCACCUAGGUAACUCCGCUGCUCUGUUACCACGAGCAGCUCCAUGCCUCAGUGAGGCCGGUCCCUAUUUUUUAGGACUAGGUGUGCUACUAUUCCUAUUUCCUACUGAUUUGUCCACUUUCUCUCUGUCCUACUACUCUCUUUUCAUUAAUCCCCCGAAUCUCUAAUCUUUGUUUGUGCAGAUUCUCUCUUACCUAUGAAUACAAGGUCGAUGAAAAUCCAAGCAAGUUGCAAGGAAGAUUGAUCUAUGUAAUAAUGCAAUAUGCAAGUUCUGUUGUCUCUGCUUAAUAACUUCUUUUUGUGAAAUUUAGUUGCAUUGAAUGAUUAAUUCCUCUCAUGCCAAUGUGGCAAUGUCUCUCGUCUGAAUUCUCAAUUGUCUUUGCCAGUUACAUAGUGGCUUACAUGCCACCUGGAUACUGGAGUAGCAUAGUAUCUGGGAAUAUGAUUUUAUUCUUUAGUCAUUUGUAUGCCACAUCUGGUAUCGUUGGUCCUUUCUGAAGGCCAAUAUGAAAGGGCAACUUAUAUAUGUCAAAUCGCAUGGGUAUUUUAGUUGGUACUUUCAGGUUUUGAUAUUACUCUAUCACUAGAAUUUCCUUUCGAACAUUGCAAUUAGCUUUUAUCAAAGCAUGGUAAGUAUUGAGAAAUUUGUUCAUCAUACCUCCCAGGUAAACUGGAAGUAUUGUAGUAGUAGUCAAGCAGGAACCAAUUCCAAUUGUAUCCUGGGGAUUUUCUACCUUAUUCUAGCUCCAGUGAAUAAUGUUUGCUGUGGCAGAUAAAGAAUAAUGUUUGCACUUACCUCACCCUGUCCUAAAUUGGUU